GAUGAACGCUGGCGGCGUGCCUAAUACAUGCGAGUCGAGCGAACAGACGAGGAGCUUGCUCCUCUGACGUUAGCGGCGGACGGGUGAGUAACACGUGGAUAACCUACCUAUAAGACUGGGAUAACUUCGGGAAACCGGAGCUAAUACCGGAUAAUAUAUUGAACCGCAUGGUUCAAUAGUGAAAGACGGUUUUGCUGUCACUUAUAGAUGGAUCCGCGCCGCAUUAGCUAGUUGGUAAGGUAACGGCUUACCAAGGCGACGAUGCGUAGCCGACCUGAGAGGGUGAUCGGCCACACUGGAACUGAGACACGGUCCAGACUCCUACGGGAGGCAGCAGUAGGGAAUCUUCCGCAAUGGGCGAAAGCCUGACGGAGCAACGCCGCGUGAGUGAUGAAGGUCUUCGGAUCGUAAAACUCUGUUAUUAGGGAAGAACAAAUGUGUAAGUAACUAUGCACGUCUGGACGGUACCUAAUCAGAAAGCCACGGCUAACUACGU
This 496-nucleotide ribosomal RNA is filed under the name uncultured bacterium. Its description in RNAcentral is "partial 16S ribosomal RNA". It matches the Rfam family "Bacterial small subunit ribosomal RNA", at positions 28 to 506 of the family's 1533-position model. The record is from RNAcentral.